UUUAUCAAAUUUUUAGAUAAUUCAAACAACUAAUAUAUUAACCAUUCAAACGGAAAGGAGCAUAAUAAGAUGACCUAUAAUACAACAGUAAAUAAACCAACAACUUCAAAUAUUUUAGUCAUUUUAUUAUGCUUAUAGGACUGGAGCUUUAGUAUCAAUUUACUAAAAGUUUAAGUCCUAUUUCUAGUUGAAUGGGACUUG
Molecule: small RNA, 201 nt
Filed under: Staphylococcus arlettae
Lineage: Bacteria; Bacillati; Bacillota; Bacilli; Caryophanales; Staphylococcaceae
Description: Listeria sRNA rli60
Rfam family: Listeria sRNA rli60
Source: RNAcentral